GGAUCAGUGGCGAACGGGUGAGUAACACGUGAGCAACCUGCCCCUGACUCUGGGAUAAGCGCUGGAAACGGCGUCUAAUACUGGAUAUGUGACGUGACCGCAUGGUCUGCGUCUGGAAAGAAUUUCGGUUGGGGAUGGGCUCGCGGCCUAUCAGCUUGUUGGUGAGGUAAUGGCUCACCAAGGCGUCGACGGGUAGCCGGCCUGAGAGGGUGACCGGCCACACUGGGACUGAGACACGGCCCAGACUCCUACGGGAGGCAGCAGUGGGGAAUAUUGCACAAUGGGCGCAAGCCUGAUGCAGCAACGCCGCGUGAGGGACGACGGCCUUCGGGUUGUAAACCUCUUUUAGCAGGGAAGAAGCGAAAGUGACGGUACCUGCAGAAAAAGCGCCGGCUAACUACGUGCCAGCAGCCGCGGUAAUACGUAGGGCGCAAGCGUUAUCCGGAAUUAUUGGGCGUAAAGAGCUCGUAGGCGGUUUGUCGCGUCUGCUGUGAAAUCCGGAGGCUCAACCUCCGGCCUGCAGUGGGUACGGGCAGACUAGAGUGCGGUAGGGGAGAUUGGAAUUCCUGGUGUAGCGGUGGAAUGCGCAGAUAUCAGGAGGAACACCGAUGGCGAAGGCAGAUCUCUGGGCCGUAACUGACGCUGAGGAGCGAAAGGGUGGGGAGCAAACAGGCUUAGAUACCCUGGUAGUCCACCCCGUAAACGUUGGGAACUAGUUGUGGGGUCCAUUCCACGGAUUCCGUGACGCAGCUAACGCAUUAAGUUCCCCGCCUGGGGAGUACGGCCGCAAGGCUAAAACUCAAAGGAAUUGACGGGGACCCGCACAAGCGGCGGAGCAUGCGGAUUAAUUCGAUGCAACGCGAAGAACCUUACCAAGGCUUGACAUAUACGAGAACGGGCCAGAAAUGGUCAACUCUUUGGACACUCGUAAACAGGUGGUGCAUGGUUGUCGUCAGCUCGUGUCGUGAGAU
Molecule: ribosomal RNA, 971 nt
Filed under: Microbacterium sp. 73
Lineage: Bacteria; Bacillati; Actinomycetota; Actinomycetes; Micrococcales; Microbacteriaceae
Description: bacterial SSU rRNA
Rfam family: Bacterial small subunit ribosomal RNA
Source: RNAcentral